CUACGUGCCAGCAGCCGCGGUAAUACGGAAGGUUCGGGCGUUAUCCGGAUUUAUUGGGUUUAAAGGGAGCGUAGGCCGGAGAUUAAGUGUGUUGUGAAAUGUAGACGCUCAACGUCUGACUUGCAGCGCAUACUGGUUUCCUUGAGUACGCACAACGUUGGCGGAAUUCGUCGUGUAGCGGUGAAAUGCUUAGAUAUGACGAAGAACUCCGAUUGCGAAGGCAGCUGACGGGAGCGCAACUGACGCUUAAGCUCGAAGGUGCGGGUAUCGAACAGGAUUAGAUACCCUGGUAGUCCGCACAGUAAACGAUGGAUGCCCGCUGUUGGUACCUGGUAUCAGCGGCUAAGCGAAAGCAUUAAGCAUCCCACCUGGGGAGUACGCCGGCAACGGUGAAACUCAAAGGAAUUGACGGGGGCCCGCACAAGCGGAGGAACAUGUGGUUUAAUUCGAUGAUACGCGAGGAACCUUACCCGGGCU
RNAcentral lists this ribosomal RNA (477 nucleotides) under uncultured bacterium. RNAcentral describes it as "bacterial SSU rRNA". It matches the Rfam family "Bacterial small subunit ribosomal RNA", at positions 501 to 981 of the family's 1533-position model. The record is from RNAcentral.